Molecule: long non-coding RNA, 416 nt
Organism: Anneissia japonica
Lineage: Eukaryota; Metazoa; Echinodermata; Crinoidea; Comatulida; Comatulidae
Exons: 3
Source: RefSeq, a predicted model, not a curated record
AUUGCAAAUAAUACAUUACAGGAAGUUGAAACCUAUGAAAUUAGUGAUACCGACAGCAGCGACUUACCAGAUCCUGGCUUAUCUGCUUUUGUAGAUACCUCAGCUCUAGAUGUUUUACCAUCAGGUACAGCAACAGAAUAUGAAGCAUUACCAUCAGACGAAACUGCUACCAGUAGUUCAUUCAUUCCCGGAGGAACCCCCACAGUUCUUUUGAAGACAUUUCCUCAAGGAACAUGUGAAAUAUGUUGUGAUCGCCCAAAAAACAGUUUUUUUGUGCCAUGUGGCCAUACUAUAUGUCUGCCGUGUGGCACAUACCUCAAGGAAAGCGAAACCAAAGAUUGCCCAUUCUGCAAGCAAUUGAUUAGUGGAGUGAACGGUUUCUACUAAAAGUCCAAGCAGUUGAAUGGUUUUUUGGA